This 580-nucleotide long non-coding RNA is filed under the name Octopus sinensis (East Asian common octopus). RNAcentral describes it as "uncharacterized LOC118765922, transcript variant X1". The record is from RNAcentral. Lineage: Eukaryota; Metazoa; Mollusca; Cephalopoda; Octopoda; Octopodidae.
CAUAUAUUUUUGUAUCUAUGUUUAUGUAUGUAUAUAUGCAUAUAGUAUUUGUGUAAUGGGGGUGUAUAGUGCACGACAUAUAACCAAAGUUCAGAAUAUGACCAUAUAUUCGUAUAUACUCAUUUCUCAUUUUUGAACCCCUCUAUCUUCAACAAACUCCAUAAAGAGGAAGAAGGACAAAAAAUUGAACGCUUGGUGAAUGGGAACAGAUUUGAGUUCUCAGAAUCUAAGAUGGAUUUGGAAAGGAACACUGCAAAGUAAAUGGGGGUUUAUUUCUUGGUAGGUGCUCAACCAUUUCUUUUUGGGGUGAACUCGUUAUAUGGAGAGAGAAAAAAAUUUUUUUUUAAAUGGUGGAGGUGGAGGGGAGCAAUUAUCCAGUUAUUAAUAUUAACAUCCAGAAAUGAUAAAUAGUUGAAAACAGCAUAUAAAAAAGAGAGGGCAGAAGGAAAGGGGUGGAGCAUGAGGUGGGGAAAUAGAUAGAGAUAUAAAUUGUAGUAGAGGUGGGCAUGGGAAGUAAGUAUAAUAUUUAAAACAACUGUACAAAAUAAUGUGUAUUCAUGUGUGUGUGUGUGUGGAUGGG